UUUCUUCUGUCAGGCUAGACUUGAAAAAAUGGGUGACGACAAGACUUUUGGGAUUGCUCAGCCAAGUCGCCACUCGCUUCCCUUACCCAACCAACCAAUAUUACCCGUAACUGAGAUUUGUCUUGCCAUAUAGGCACAAGUACCGUCAACUUUUGAAGCAUCCCUCUAGCUUUGGACGCUUCAGAGGAUGUUGUUCUCUGCGUGGGUGUGCGUGAGAGAUUAAAUAAUGGGUAUAUAUAAUAUCACAGUACAGUUAAUUCAGUCAAUUCAUUUCCUCUCCAAGCUAUGUAGAGUUGAAAUG
Molecule: long non-coding RNA, 301 nt
Organism: Arabidopsis lyrata subsp. lyrata
Lineage: Eukaryota; Viridiplantae; Streptophyta; Magnoliopsida; Brassicales; Brassicaceae
Exons: 3
Source: RefSeq, a predicted model, not a curated record